CCCAAGCAGCAUUGCUGUACCAAGAGCCGGUGGAUUCCUCAGCACUGCAACAUUUCCUGCAGCGUGAGGGAGCUCCCUCAAUGUCCCCAUGGCAAGCUGCUAAGAAAAAGACUUGCUGCAUCGUGGAGAUACAUACCCCUUGUAGAAUCAGAACUGGCUUAUAAACUAGCUACAGGAAUUAGAAAUCAUUCAGAAGGACACAGUGCUUUGAAACUACAAGACACCCACCUGCCUGGGAGCCAGGCGAGGCUGGUCACAUCGCUGUGUUAGACAGGCCUGCUAAGGGUUGCUGCCAAGCUGCUUGAAACUAUCCCAAUUCAACUACAGCGAUUUGAGCACAGUAAAUAGGACCUGAUAUCCACCAAGAGAAGCCUUAACAUAUCUUCCUGAUGUACAGUGAUGGAUACAAGCACUUCAGGGAUGCAGUCUCACCUCUUCCUUUUUGCCUCUUUGCUUCCUGUCAUUUUUUGCAUACCUUUGUAAAAAGGAGAUGUUU
Passer montanus (Eurasian tree sparrow) is the source of this 496-nucleotide long non-coding RNA. RefSeq lists it as uncharacterized. The record is from RefSeq and is a predicted model, not a curated record. The transcript is spliced from 4 exons. NCBI's taxonomy places the organism in Eukaryota, Metazoa, Chordata, Aves, Passeriformes, Passeridae.